RNAcentral lists this long non-coding RNA (10529 nucleotides) under Pelobates cultripes (western spadefoot toad). Lineage: Eukaryota; Metazoa; Chordata; Amphibia; Anura; Pelobatidae. The record is from RNAcentral.
GGGCACCAUGGCAUAGCUAUCUGGGGUAUCACCGCUCAAACAGGGCAAGCACCGAAUGACCCGGCUUUCAUGUCUUUGCAGGGGAAAAUCAAGCCUUUUAACAUGGGGCCAUAAUCCAAAGGCAACAGGUGAGCAACCAGGCUUCUCCAAUGCAAUGCGGCGAGAUUGGUCUCGUCACACACGCAUUCAAACCUUCUGGGCAGGUGUACAUAGCGUUGCACAGGCAACAACUGGGUGCUCCAUCCCACUAGCACCCCUACAGCUGUUACUAAUUGACCUACUGGUGGGCUAACCUAGGGCCACACUAAAAUUGCUACUACACAUUGUGCUGACAGCACAGAGGGUAAUUCCUAAAAAAACUGGGGGAAAAAAGGCCCCCUGUGUCUCAGCGCUUACUCACUGACCUGGAUACACAGAGCUCAUAUGAGCAGGACUUGAAAACACAAUUCCCUCCCAAUCAAACCUCCCGUAAAGCAUGGGGUAUGUGGUACUCGUGGAGAUCGCCUACCAAAUGAACUAUCAUGACAAUUAAAUGUCAACGUGAAGUGAGGGAUAUGAAGGCCCUACCUCCUAUAGGUCUGUACCAGGCAUACGAUGCGCCUGUUUAGAGUGCUGGAUGAACUGUGAAACCUGAUGACGAGACAAUGUCCUUAUGUGAAUGACAUGUAUAUUAUAUCUGUAUUCAUUGCCUAUUCUGUACGAGCCUAAAUUUUAUACUGAUUAAAUUAAUUCUCCCCUCCCCCCUUUUUUCCUUCUUCCAUGCUGUACUCCUCACAUUAUGCAAACCAAUAAAAAUUGGCAAAUUGGGAAAAAAAACAACAAAGGUAUAGGAACGGUGGGCGUGGCCAACAGCCAACGGGAAUGGUCGCAUAAAUCUUGUGCUCCUACGCGAUCGGCAUAACAUGACGGUAAUAGGGACUAAAACUGCGGAAUAGCAAGGUACUCAAGCCUUCUACCGUGAGUUAACAAGCUGCUGGGACAGAUGGCGUUGAAAAAUAAAACAAAAGCAGACAAGGCUGCCUUCUUCACACAAACAGCCUGCAGGUCCAAAAGACCGCCUAACAGUGAACAAGAUGGCGCCGAAGUGGGGACUGAGGCUCCGCUCUCAGACCUGGAAUACGAAGCUCCGACGGGAGGUGAUGGUCUGAUCACAGAAAUGAAGAUGAAAUCCUUGCUGGAAGCACUUAAUGAUGCAUCAAUUCCGAGAGACCGUGGCGACUCUCACCAAAGAUGUGGCUGAUCUGGGUGAGCACACAUCACACAGAGAAUAAACUGGCAGAGCAUGCGGAGGCCCACAAUAGCAUGGUUGAUGCAAUGCAACACAUAGAACACAGACUGAAAACCUCUGAAGACAAGCUGACUGGCCUUGAGGAUCGUUCCAGGAGGAACAAUGUGUGCAUAAGGGUCAUAUCAGAGUCCAUAGAAACCAGGCAAUUGCUCCAUUACGUUACAACCUUCUUCCUCAUCAUAGAUCGCAUUCACAGGGUGGGGAGGCAGAAACACAUACGGAUGUGCUUAUGCGAAUCCAUUACUUCCACAUUGAAGAUCAAAUCAUGAAAGCCAGCCACAAGAAUGGACCGCUAGCGGAAUACAAAGCUCUACAACUCUAUGCAGACCUUUCCCCGGCCACACUGUUCCAAAGAAGGUAACUCUCGCAAAUCACAUAAUCUCUUUGGGCUCAAAACGUGCCGUACAGAUGGGGAUUCCCAACCAAACUACUUGUAAUGAAAAACCUUACACACGAUCAAGAUGGUGGAAGAAGGACGUUAGAUCUUACAGGACUGGGACAUACCUAUUCAGCCCCCUUAAAAACCACUCGCAUCCCGCCCAAGGAGACUGUCCCCUGAAUGGCAAAAGGUCCAGUAAAGGAACUGAUUCUCUGAAGCACGUGCUGUUACAGCCCGAAUGGGGCGACCCCUUUGGGUAACGUAGAGUUGUCCCGCAUGUCUAUACUUGUUAGUUCUGUUACUAGCAUGUAAGGCGGAGCUGAUAUUUUUACUUCUAUAGGCAAGAAGCCAUAAUAGAGGCACUCUUCCCUUAUUAUUCCAAGUGGCUAUCACAGGCCUGGGACUCAUACUAGGAGACCCACACCUUGGAGAUGUUACGCUUAAAGUUGUCACUGAUUCUCACAAAAACAAAAAGGGAAAUUUUGUUUGUAUAGCGGCAAGAGACUAGGCACCGAAUAUAUGGGCUAGUUGGUUAUCAGGCAGUUAAUGGGACCUAAGCAUUAUAUGCAGUCAGCGAAUAGUGCCAUAGCCAGUGGGCUGACUACUUAAACACACUGGAAUGGUUCACAAUUACCACGACCCCAGGGAGUUGCCAUGGCCCAGUUGAUGGCAUCUCCACCCCCUUGGGAGAUAGGAUAUGGGCUGUUUUGUUUGUAAAUAAUUUGUUUUUGUAUAUAAUGUUUUAUGGUUAUGUACCCUUCCCUCCACUACCCUCCCACUCCCCCACUACCAGCACUUCUGAUAAGGCCAGAACAGACACUCACAAGCACAUACACCCGAGAUCUGAUUUAUGAAAAUAGUCACACACAACGUUAAGGCAUUGAAUACCCAACACAAACUUAACCUAUACAAAGAUUUGUCCAAAUGGCAGUGACCUACUUUAACAAACAGCCACCGCAAUCCUUAUACUCAAAACAAUAUAUCAGGCAAUAUAAGUCCCCGGCCCACACGAAGGCAAGAGGGCUAUGCAUUUUGGUCAACGAUAACAUAGCAUUUACUCUCCUGCGCAAACUCUCAGAUCCAAUACUAGUCUGCAUUGUAAAUAAAAUUACCAUUACCUAUACUAUAACGAAAGCCUACUUCCCAAAUUCCAAUCAGGCUCAUUUUUUGGAGGUGCUAUGUAAUAAAUAGACAGGAUGGAACCAGGCCUGGAUUCUUCAGCUCAGUUCACAAAACCAAGACUGAAGACGCUACAGGGCUCCUGCAAAUCUUUAUGGUCCCGUAUUCAGUUUCACAACUUAUGUGGCGCACAUUACAUGAUAACGAAAGAGAUUAUACUUCCCACUCAGCGGUCCACAACUCUUACACGAGAUUGGAUCUCUUUUACAUCUCGCCUACGGACCUGACUCAAAUAGACAAAUGCGUGAUAGGACACCCAGAUCAGAUCAGGGGUUCAGGCGCUAGUCUUUCUACACAUAAGAGAUGCUUACACCUACAAAGGGAAAGGAUACUGGAGGUUGAUGAAUCACUACUCCAAGAUGUAGACUUUGUUAAGAAUGCUAGGGUAGAACUACAAGACUAUUUUACUAGGAAUGACACGGGAGACUUCCUUAGACAAUAUAUGGUUAGCUCACAAGUCUGUGAUUAGAGGCAUUUUUAAAAGGAGGACGACAUAACAAAAACGGCAAAGGGAAUCACAAAUGUAAGACUGGCUCCUCCAAUUAGAAUACCUAACCAAACAAAACAAACGAAAAGCAUCCAGAGAGCUGGCUAAAAAGAUACAGGCACUAAAAUCCCUAAUUGAGGAGGACAACCUACACAAAAUGAACCUCCACCUACACAAACUAAAAUCUAGAUUUUCCACCAGGGAAAUAGGGCAGGCAAGUUAUUGGCCAAUAUGCUCAAACACAGACAGGCAAAACAACGUAUCACCCACAUACGUACAAAUAUGAAAAUAGUACGCAAACCUCAAGACAUCAGCGAGACUUUUGCGACAUUCUACAAGGCACUAUAAAACAUACAGACUGACCAACCAAACAUGACACCAUCUAAGGAACAGUUCCAAGAAUUCCUGACACUGGUAUCCCUCCCCAAAUUGACCAAUGACCAAGCAGGAUCACUGACAGCACCUUUAUCGGAUGCAGAGAUACUUAAGACGAUUUCGGGACUGCCGACAAAGCGCCGGGGCCGGACGGCCUUACAAGCAAAUAUUACCAGGUCUUUGGGGAUCUUCUAGAACCAUACCUGACGAAGCUGUUUAACUUCACCAACCACGGCAAAGGCUUACCGCCAGAUAUGCUACUGGCUAACAUUACGACGGUUGACCCAGAUCCCAAGCGGCAGUGUGUUUCACUGGGAGGGGAGAGCAGCGUCCUCCCUUAUCAGCGGCAGCAUAGCCCACCAAGGGGAGACAAUAAGCCCCACAACAGUACAGAUGGGACUGUAGUCUCUGCACCUGCACCACCGGGGGUGUCCUGUUUCCCGACAGCAGGACCAUUUAGCCAAGGGGGAGACAGUCUGCCCCCCCCUCCAGCAACCAAGUGUGAUGUUGGAGUGGCUGAGCAUGUUAUUGGAAGGGGAGAAGGCUGUUUCCCCUUCCCAACAGCGGGACCAUUUAUUGGAAGGGGAAACAGUCGGUUCUCCCCUACAACAAGGGAGAGUGUUGCAGGAAGAAAAGCUGGCAACCGGUCAGAAAGCAGGCUGCUUCUGCCCUCUCUUCCCUUUUGCCUUAGAUCCUGAUGGCACACCAUCUACAUCAAGGGCACCGAGGACCACAGAGCAAAGUUUUGCGGACCUCGACCCACCAGGUCUAGAGGAGGGGAACUGCAUCCGCCAUCCCCAGCAAAAGCUUUGUCCAACCAGGGGAGAAGGCAUCCUGGUUGUUUUUCCACAAGACCCGGGAUCUACAACUGGGCACAGGUGGCAGGAGGCCAUCUGGACAACUACACCUUUUGAGAAAGGCCGGCAGACUAUCAGAGCACCAGACCAUUGGGAGGUCUGGAGUCUGGAUAGUCUCAAUGGGAAAAGGGAGAUAUGUAGCAAACUCAACCCUUUAAGAGAGUUUGCCAUGAGCUUUUGGAGGGGCUUGCUUGCCCGCCUCCUGCCAUGUGACUAUGGCCCUGGGGGUAUUUGGGCAUGAUGGAUUUUUAUUAUGUGGCUACUGGCCCUUUAAGCACCGUGUAUGGACUUCUAUUAGACUGUGUAUAGAUUGUGUAUAGGAAGGUGUACCCCUCCCCCGUUUCCUGUCCCAUUGUUCUCCAGCAGGGCGUUGUCCCAGGCACACUGCCAGACUAGCUGGAACUGGUUUGAUCUGGAAAGCCAUGUUUCAGUUGACCAAAAGGGACCUCCACAAAACUUGAAACCCCCAUAACUCCUGAACCCCUGAUCUGAUCUGGGUGAUUUUUGGAUAUGUGUCUCACCCAGAUCAGGGCCACCAGGGGAUGUAAUAUUUAAAGGGAUACUCCUAGGUUUAGGGGUACAUCCAGAAAACAAGGGGAACUGUGUCUUACAUAAUGGGAUUAUGUGUCACACUAAGGGGAGGGGAUGUGUGGGUGGCAACUCGUGUAUGAUUGGUGUAUUGUGUAAUUACUGUAAAUCCCUCUCUUGCAUGGGAGAAAGCUUUAAAAGAAGGUUGUGUGAUUAAAAGUUCAGUUCUGACCUUAAAACGAAGUGUCGUCUCGUUAUUGGGGGAAUUGGAUUGUAUGCUGAUUGCCAGGAGUGUAAGCUGAUUGUAUGCUUUUCCUGUUCAGCUGCUUACAGCAUUCAUAUGCUUGAGAGCAUUCGUAUGCUUCUCCGGUUUGGUGGUUGUGGUGUCUGCUGCAGUGCUUGGAGUCUUCAGGAAGUGCUAGGAGCAUCCUUCAACGGAGGUACCCAGUCGGGGAGCCAGGUGAUCCGUUAGAUGGACCAAGUGGGGUUUGUGACUGGCUGCCAGGGGGCAGAUAACACUCACAGUGGUGGACCUGUUGUGUCACAUGAGAGAGGCUGGGACCGAGGGCCUCCUGCUCUCGCUGGAUGCAGAAAAAGCGUUUGACCGGUUGGGCUGGGGAUUCUUGGUCUCUGCACUGGUAGAGUUUGGCAUUCUCCGGUCAUGGGCCUUUAUUAUAGACCAACGGCGGUGGUAUCCAACGGUGGCUUCACCUCUACUAGAUUCACGCUAACUUAUGGGACGAGGCAGGCAUGCCCCCUGUCGCCGCUUUUGUACAUAUUAGCAUGAUAACUUAUGUCAGCUAUGAUACGAUCCUCGCCCAAUAUCCAUGGCAUCAAAAUAGGGAAGAAAGAACACAAGCUCAGUCUGUUUGCAGACGACGUCCUGAUCACACUAACCCAGCCACUAGCAUCUGUACCAGCAGUCCACUAACUCCUGAUGGACUACGGGGCUGUGUCUUACUACAAAUGAAACAAAUCAAAAUCCCAAGCUAUGGGAAUUAACCUUACUCGAGCGGCCACCCAAUUUCUUUGGUCAAAGUAUAAAUUUGAUUGGUCAGACAAGCACCUAAAGUUCCAAGGCCUCUGUUUGUCGCGAAACCCUCGGGACCUCUUUAUUAAUAACUAUGUCAGGAUCUGGAAAGAGAUAGAACUUCAAAUACGGGACUGGAGAGAAGUAUAUUUUAUGGGUAGGGAGAGCAGCUGCCUUUAAAAUUAUGUUACUGCCUAAACUACAAUAUAUUUUCCGCCUACUACCAAUACUAGAACCCUUGUCUUUCUUUAAUAAGGCACAGACAGAUUUAACAAAGUUCGUAUGGGCAGGAAAAAAAACCCAGUAUCAUUAAAACACCUAUGUAGACACUAUGAUGAGGGAGGCACUAGGGUCCCUGAUCUCCUUUACUACAAGGCGGCUGUGCUUGCACCUUUGAUGCAGGCAGCUGCGACUCAACAACGCCCACAGUGGGUUUCGAUUGAGGGAAAGCACUUCCUUUUUACACUUCAUGUAAAUAAGAGAUGAUGGUACAAGUAUAAAAAGGACCAAAAUCUAUUUAUUAACAAUAAUUAAAAAGCAUUAUAAUAUCCAAACGCGUUUCUCCAUAUAGGCUUUAUCAAUGGAUUAAAAAUGUUUGGUCCUUUUUAUACUUGUACCAUCAUCUUUUAUUUAAAUUUUUAUUACUAUUACCUGGCUUUUUACUUUAUUUUACUCUUGUCUUGUACUCCAAGAAUCCGAGGUGGGGAUCAUACCACAUAUGCCCUUGUCAUAGAGCAGUUAGCCUACCCUAUCAUCUGUGAGUAUAUUUUAUUAUACUUUUUAUGCUAGCAAUAUUUUACUGAGAGCACUAUUGCUGUUUUAUUAUCUUCCCUCUGAGCUCCUGUGACCAUCUCCAAGAUCACUCCUCAUAUAUCCCAGAAGCGGGGAUCAUACCGCUGCAAGCCUACCAUACUAGAGCUGGUAUAAGCUCUAUUAAAUGUGAGUGUAUCUACUAUUUUUUAUUACCUUUUAUCCACUGUGGAACAAACUGCACCAUUAUUGUUUCCAUUUUUAUUUCCCCCUUGGCUGUCUGUCACUGCAGGAUCGCUUGCAUUCGGUUCUACACCACUUAGAAGGGCACUGUUUGGUGGGAUUGUUUCCACGAACAAGGUGAACAAGCUCCAGGGUAAGAACAUUGGCUAUGUUCGGUAGUUUGUUUGGCUUUUAAACUACCGAACUAGAUUGACCGCAAGCCCUGAUUCUCUGGAACUGUUUUGGACAUGGGACCAUGAGUGCGGUCGGUCAAAUUAUGACUUCCAGAAAAUUCCUUAACCAAUCUGGGUGAUUUUUGGAUAUGUUGGUCACCCAGAUCGGGGCUAUCAGGGGAUGUAACUUUUGUGGGGGUUUGUGUGUCUAAAGGCAUUUUAAGGGUUUUUAAAAUAUGUAUGUUUUCUGUACCUGGAGAUAUUUGAGUUUAGUACAGUCCCUGACUCAAUUAUCUCCCAGGCACAGAGGAGGGAUUAUCUUGUUUUAUGUGGGAGUAUCCUGGACCUGAGAGCCAAUGUAAUUGUGUUUUUUACUGUAGUCUACUCUCAGGUCCAGGGGGGAGUGCCCUUUGCAUGGGGAACUGCAUAUAAGGUCAGUUGUGGCUACCAAUAAACGAGUUCCAGUUUACCCUCAACACAGAACCUCAUCUCGUGAUUGUAGAGGAAGGCUAUACCAGCUAUAAUCCCUGCUCCUGGGAUUGUUCUUUGGAUUGCUAUAAUCACUAGCUCUGCGAUACCUGCUAUACUCUCUUGGAGUAGAGGUCUUCUCACUGGGAGCUUGAUCCAGGAGUUUUGUCCAGCUGCAGCGGCUAAGGGGCUACAGUGCUUAUGGUGUCUGGUGCGGUGCUUAUGGUACUCGGUGACAGAUAGAAAGCAUUGAUUGGCAGAGGCACCCAAUCAGAGUGUCAGGCGGUCCGUCACAGGUAUUAUCUUCCUUCAGCCACUCAGAAACCACUUUAGAAUAUACCGAGACCCAUUUACCCCCAGGAACUGGACGAGACACAGCUCUGGAGGUACAACACCAUUUUAUUGGCCACACACGGCUGUUAUGCAUAACCCCAUGCAAGGGGUUUACCACACAACCAUACAGAGUCCCAUCCCAGGAUACUCCCCCUCCCCGGGGCCCUAGCACGAUUUCAAGAUCAGAGACAACAUGGGUUUACUUCAGGGAGAUCAUGCCCAACUAAUCUUAUUGAUUUUUUUGAUUGGGUAACUAAAAUAAUAGAUCAGGGUGGCGCAGGAGACAUUGCUUACCUAGAUUUCAGUAAGGCUUUUGACACUGUUGCACAUAGAAGGCUUAUCAAUAAACUGCAGCCUUUAAGUUUGGAUUCCAAUAUUGUGACAGGCAACAGAGGAUUGUAGUCAAUGGAUUAUAUUCAAAGCGUGGGCUUGUGGGGUACCUCAGGGAUAUGUACUUGGACCCAUUCUCUUUAAUAUUUUUAUUAGUGAUAUUGCAGAAGGUCUUGAUGUAAGGUAUGUCUUUUUGCCGCAGAUAUGUAACAGGGUUGAUGUUCCAGGAGGGAUAAGCAAAAUGGCAAAUGAUUUAGGUAACGUAGAAAAAUGGUCAGAGUUAAGGCAGCUGACAUUUAAUGUGGAUAAGUGCAAGAUAAUGCAUCUUGGACGUAAAAACCCAAGGGCAGAGUACAGAAUAUUUGAUAGAGUCCUAACCUCAACAUCUGAGGAAAGGGAUUUAGGGGUGAUUAUUUCUGAUGACUUAAAAGUAGGCAGACAAUGGAAUAGAGCAGCAGGAAAUGCUAGCAGAAUGCUUGGUUGUAUAGAGAGAGGUAUUAGCAGUAGAAAGAGGGAAGUGCUCAUGCCAUUUGUAACGGAUCACCUUCCAUUAAUGGACGCUUCCUAGCUUGCGCCGAGGACCACAAGCACCGCACUGGACACCACAAUAACCGCAGACUCCACAACUGCCGUAGCUUAACUGGAGCCUCGCCAUCUAAAGUCCACCCUGGAUCAGCUUCUGUCCUCCAGGACCGUGUGGGAAAGACAUAUAUUGCACUAUUGGAUCCUUUCUCUCCACAUAUAUCUGUAUCCUGCUCAAGACUGACAAGACGUGCCCUGCUGUAUAUAUCCUGAGACGGGGAUUGUUCCAUCUAUGCCAAAAAACAGCUGAGCUCUUAGUUAGCUCUGGGAAAUGUGAGUGUGACCAUAUUUGAUGCACUCAUAUAUCAGAUAAUUAUACUUGCGAUAUUGCACUAUUAUCUUCAUGUUCUUUUAUUUUUGAAGUCAAUUGCAUAUAGAUCACUGUAUACUUGUGUUCGUAUACAUAUUUAUUGUCUACGGCGCGGUUUCCUAUUUCCCCCUGUCUGCACAUAUAACAACCAGGUACCUCCUCAAGUCAUAUUCCCGGAUAGCCUGGACCUGAGCGCCCAAUAUAUUAAUAAACGCUCAGAUCCCAUGAACACAGCCGAAUCGCCACCGGGGUAAAGUUUUGACUGACCGCACACGAGGCGUCUGUCCAAAAUAGUUCCAGGAGAAAAGAGGUGGUGGUCGGUCUCUUUCGGGAGUUCGAAAACGUAUAAAAAACUGAACAUAUGCCAUAGCUGGUAUAUAGAUAGUGUUCACCUAAUCCAUGCGAAUGAUUCCACUGAACUGUUCUCUUCUAAGAUGUAAAGAAACACAGACAAGGAUGGAAGUUAAGCGGUGUUCUCGGGGUCGAGUUUCCUAUUUUAGUUCCAUGCACUCGACGACCAAACACCGCCACUGUUAUACGGAGUAAUAGCAGUGUUAUGAGGAACACAUUAUAUAGAGUAAUAGCAGUGUUAUAUGGAGCAUGUUAUAUUGAGUAAUUGGAGUGUUAAACAGAGCACAUUAUAUGGAGUAAUAGGAGUGUUGUUAUACGGAGUAAUAGCAGUGUUAUACGGAGCACAUUAUAUGGAGUAAUGGCAGUGUUAUACGGAGCACAUUAUAUGGAGUAAUAGGAGUGUUACACGGAGCACAUUAUAUGGAGUAAUAGGAGUGUUACACGGAGCACAUUAUAUGGAGUAAUAGGAGUGUUACACGGAGCACAUUAUAUGGAGUAAUAGGAGUGUUAUACGGAGCACAUUAUAUGGAGUAAUAGGAGUGUUAUACAGAGCACAUUAUAUGGAGUAAUAGGAGUGUUAUACGGAGCACAUUAUAUGGAGUAAUAGGAGUGUUACACGGAGCACAUUAUAUGGAGUAAUAGGAGUGUUACACGGAGCACAUUAUAUGGAGUAAUAGGAGUGUUAUACGGAGCACAUUAUAUGGAAUAAUAGGAGUGUUAUACGGAGCACAUUAUAUGGAGUAAUAGGAGUGUUAUACGGAGUAAUAGCAGUGUUAUACGGAGCACAUUAUAUGGAGUAAUGGCAGUGUUAUACGGAGCACAUUAUAUGGAGUAAUAGGAGUGUUGUUAUACGGAGUAAUAGCAGUGUUAUACGGAGCACAUUAUAU